CGUGUUUUGUAAACGUCUCGCUAUCUUUUCUCUGUCAACAAUGGAUUAAGUUUAGUCCAUAUUUAUGUUUUUCAACAGCAUGCCACCACUUAUACAUCUGUGAGCAUGGAUUGCACAUUUCCUUUUCAGUUUACAUCCAUUUGUUUGGUAAAUACUCCAAGAAAGCCAGAGAGGCUUGUAAAUGAGGAAGAUGAUAAUGAACUCAAGGUGACAUCAGAUUUGUGGGAAUGUCAACAGUGACGAUCAGCCUCUCUGACAGUCAUAACCGUUUCAAGCUGAAAUCGAUGUUGCUGGCUUUCUGAGGCAUUUUAUUUUUGUAAGUGUGCUCUUGGGAGCUGCUCCUCGCUGUGCAGUAAGGACUGUGGAGUGUCUCUACGAGCUCUUGCUCUCUCAGGCACGCAGCUGUGAGCUCAGAGGGAAAUGUCAGCCGCAGACGCUGGGAGAGAGAGAGAGAGAGAGUGUGUUAGAGUGAGAGAGAAAGUGAGAGAGAGAGACGGGCAACAGAUCAACAGAAUAAUAAACAUGACAACUGUGAAAGAAGGCAGUGUCUCCGUCUCACACAGCUCUCUGCGAAGAACACUGCGGAAAUCAGCAAGAAUCUGAUUUUAAAAGAUAGCUGUCACUUCUAGUAUUUCAGCAAAAUUCAGUGUCAUUAUAAAGGUCUGUUAUUCAUUUUCAGGAAUA
This is a long non-coding RNA of Carassius gibelio (silver crucian carp), 684 nucleotides long. RefSeq lists it as uncharacterized. The record is from RefSeq and is a predicted model, not a curated record. Lineage: Eukaryota; Metazoa; Chordata; Actinopteri; Cypriniformes; Cyprinidae. The transcript has 2 exons.